GCGUGAGAAUUUGCCUUUAGGAGGGGGAUAACAAUCGGAAACGAAUGCUAAUACCCCAUAUGCUUUUGAGUGAAACGGAUUUAUCCGCCUAAAGAGAAGCUCGCGGCUGAUUAGCUUGUUGGUAAGGUAAGAGCUUACCAAGGCGACGAUCAGUAUCUGGUUUGAGAGGACGAUCAGACACACUGGAACUGAGACACGGUCCAGACUCCUACGGGAGGCAGCAGUGGGGAAUUUUCCGCAAUGGGCGAAAGCCUGACGGAGCAAUACCGCGUGAGGGAAGACUGCCUAUGGGUUGUAAACCUCUUUUUUCAGGGAGGAAUAAAAUGACGUGUACCUGAAGAAUAAGCAUCGGCUAACUCCGUGCCAGCAGCCGCGGUAAGACGGAGGAUGCAAGUGUUAUCCGGAAUCACUGGGCGUAAAGCGUCUGUAGGUGGUUUAAUAAGUCAACUGUUAAAUCUUGAGGCUCAACUUCAAAAUCGCAGUCGAAACUAUUAGACUAGAGUAUAGUAGGG
This 512-nucleotide ribosomal RNA is filed under the name uncultured cyanobacterium. RNAcentral's name for it is "bacterial SSU rRNA". It matches the Rfam family "Bacterial small subunit ribosomal RNA", at positions 115 to 656 of the family's 1533-position model. Lineage: Bacteria; Bacillati; Cyanobacteriota. The record is from RNAcentral.